GAUUGAUUCUGCAGGUUGGGCUCCCAUUUGGUUUCUGCUAACCCUAAGAUUCUUUUCUCUCUAACUCGUCUCUCCUUCCCCUUCAUCCUUUUUCUCUCUCAAGGUCUGUAGCCAUCUCCCAUGGCGGAUGAAACACUUUCGGAACCACCAUCAAACUCGUCUCUCCUUCCCCUUCAUCCUUUUUCUCUCUCAAGGUUUGUAGCCAUCUCCCAUGGCGGAUGAAACACUGUCGGAACCACCAUCAAACAAAAUGAUAUUCAUAUGAAUUAUCGGUUUUACUUAUGAUCUUGGUUCAACGAUUUAAAUUCAUGCGUUUAUGUGUUCUUAGUUCAACAGAUUUUAAUUUAUCAGGGUUUGCAAUGAGAAUGCGUGUUGGUAUGAACGACGGUUGAAAUUUUCUUCUUCACAACGCGUACUCCUUCUGAAUCUCUCUCACUACCAAUUCGUCUCUUUCUCACUGGGUUUAAUCGAGGGUUUGGAAUCAAAAGAUUGGAUUAAGGUCUGUGAACAUUGAAUGAUAUUAGGAGCUUGGCUAUUCAUCAGUCAAUCUUUUUCUUCCAUGAGAACCGGUUGUUGUGGUGUUGGUGAGGGCUAUGAAAAACCCAAGAAGUAGCUGUUGAUGCUGCUGAUUUAUUCGUAGCGUAUCGUGACUGCUACCUGAUUUCUCUUGUUGUUUUGACAAUUUGAAGAAGGAUGCAUCAUUACAGACUCAGUCCCGUACACCUUCUUUCUCGAGGCCCAAUUCUUGCCAAAAGAUGCUCUCCCUAAAUGGUUCUUUGAGGCGUCCGGUGCUUGACUUAAAUCCAUUUGAGCUACUAGAUGGCUUGUUUAAAGAAUGUCAUCGCCAUGGUGAAGUGUUGGUAUCUGAGGGAUACUUUAUGUGAAGGAAAUUGAAUAUGCAAAGUCAAGAAAAGAAAACCAGGGUGAUUUUAAGCAUUGGUUUACCUGCUUUGGUUUGUUGUUAAGUGAUAAAGCCAAAAUAACUAGCACGAACAGACCAACAAAUACAUUCUUUGACUGGUUUCUCAGCCGCUUUGGCUUAUGAAAGAACAUAAGAAAGUAGACAACUUUCACAGGCGUUAAGGAAAAUUACCUUAACAAAUCAGUUUUACUGAACAGAGAUCUUGAGAGACUUUGAAGUUCUUGCACUGUAAGUCCGUGACGCCCUGAAGUUAAAAACGAGAAGAACUUGAGGCACUCGCACGAAAGUAAUAGAAUGUCAAGUGAUUCUGAAAUGAUAUCUUAAUUUAAAAUCCGAACUUAAAAAGUCAUUAGUCAGUCGACUAAAUAGAGAUAUAUUGGAAUCCCUUUGUACCUCCUGCUAUUUUCUCUUUGAAAGUGUUAAUAGUGUCACUCAAAAGAGUAUUUCUAGAAGUUUGCCCUGUAUCUUUUGAUAAAAAAAAACUACUUGACUUUGAUCCUAUAUGAUCAUAGGUGGUGGUCAGUUUUAUUUUAGUUUUUGUUUGUCAACUCUUUAUAAAUUGUGUUUUUUGUGUGCUUUA
Molecule: long non-coding RNA, 1502 nt
Organism: Spinacia oleracea (spinach)
Lineage: Eukaryota; Viridiplantae; Streptophyta; Magnoliopsida; Caryophyllales; Amaranthaceae
Exons: 7
Source: RefSeq, a predicted model, not a curated record